CAUCGCUCCCUGUAGAUAGCAAAUGGGGAGUCGGACCUGCCCGGUGAAUUUUUAACGGCCGCGGUACUCUGACCGUGCAAAGGUAGCAUAAUAAUUUGCCUUAUAAUUGAAGGCUGGUAUGAAUGGUUUGACGAGAAUAAAGCUGUCUCUCUGUAAUUUUAUAGAAAUUUAUUUGUAGAUGAAAAAGUCUACAUGCAAUUAAUAGACAAGAAGACCCUAUCGAGCUUUAAAAAAUUUAGUGGGUUAAAAACUAAUUAUAAUUUAUAAUGUUAUCUACUAGAAAUUUUAGUUGGGGCGACUAAGGAACAACUAAAGCUUCCUUAAUACCAGUACUUACCUAUAAGUUUUGAUCCAGAAAUGUCCUGAUUAAUAAAACUAGUUACCGUAGGGAUAACAGCAUUAUCUUUUUUGAGAGCUCCUAUCGAAAAAAAGGUUUGUGACCUCGAUGUUGGACCAGAAUGUCCUAAAGAUGCAGCAGUCUUUAAGGGUUGGUCUGUUCGACCAUUAAUAUUCUACGUGAUCUGAGUUCA
RNAcentral lists this ribosomal RNA (530 nucleotides) under Subcancilla attenuata. RNAcentral's name for it is "partial 16S ribosomal RNA". It matches the Rfam family "Bacterial large subunit ribosomal RNA", at positions 1814 to 2613 of the family's 2925-position model. Lineage: Eukaryota; Metazoa; Mollusca; Gastropoda; Neogastropoda; Mitridae. The record is from RNAcentral.